UACGUAGGGUGCAAGCGUUGUCCGGAAUUAUUGGGCGUAAAGAGCUCGUAGGCGGUCUGUCGCGUCUGCUGUGAAAACUCGGGGCCUAACCCCGGUUCUGCAGUGGGUACGGGCAGACUAGAGUGCAGUAGGGGAGACUGGAAUUCCUGGUGUAGCGGGUGAAAUGCGCAGAUAUCAGGAGGAACACCGGUGGCGAAGGCGGGUUGCUGGAGCCGGGCCGACGCUGAGACGCGAAAGCGCGGGGAGCGAACGGG
Molecule: ribosomal RNA, 254 nt
Filed under: uncultured bacterium
Lineage: Bacteria
Description: partial 16S ribosomal RNA
Rfam family: Bacterial small subunit ribosomal RNA
Source: RNAcentral